Molecule: transfer RNA, 70 nt
Filed under: Extubocellulus spinifer
Lineage: Eukaryota; Bacillariophyta; Thalassiosirophyceae; Cymatosirales; Cymatosiraceae
Description: partial tRNA
Source: RNAcentral
UGAUAGCUCAGUUGGGAGAGCGUCAGACUGAAGUACCGAAACAGUCAUCUGAAGGUCCCGCGUUCGAUUC